GGCCUCCCUCUGCAGGGUGAUCGAUCACGGAGUUCCCCCGAUUGAUCGCCCUGCAGAGGGUGGCC
RNAcentral lists this microRNA precursor (65 nucleotides) under Myotis lucifugus (little brown bat). Its description in RNAcentral is "mir-9242 microRNA precursor family". It matches the Rfam family "mir-9242 microRNA precursor family". Lineage: Eukaryota; Metazoa; Chordata; Mammalia; Chiroptera; Vespertilionidae. The record is from Rfam by way of RNAcentral.